CAGGUCCCUUUUGACAAUUCGCAUGCACAUGUUGUAGGUUUCCACCCCCUCCAUAAACCCCUUUUGGAUGAUCCAGCGAACUCUUUGAAUUCGAUGCAGCAACCUGACUAUUUUUGUGUUGAAACUGCCCAGUAUUCACAUAAUAUCCACUAUAAUUACCCUUCCUCUUAUUUGGAUUAUUUUGAUUAACACUCCUACUGCUUUCCCAACAACUCCCAUUAAAAUUC
This 227-nucleotide unclassified non-coding RNA is filed under the name Hevea brasiliensis (rubber tree). The record is from RNAcentral. Lineage: Eukaryota; Viridiplantae; Streptophyta; Magnoliopsida; Malpighiales; Euphorbiaceae.